UGGGGAAUUUUCCGCAAUGGGCGAAAGCCUGACGGAGCAAUACCGCGUGAGGGAGGAAGGCUUUUGGGUUGUAAACCUCUUUUCUUAGGGAAGAAGAAAGUGACGGUACCUAAGGAAUCAGCAUCGGCUAACUCCGUGCCAGCAGCCGCGGUAAGACGGAGGAUGCAAGCGUUAUCCGGAAUUAUUGGGCGUAAAGCGUCCGUAGGCGGUUUUUCAAGUCUGCCGUUAAAGACCACAGCUUAACUGUGGGCCGGCGGUGGAAACUGAAGAACUGGAGUACGGUAGGGGUAGAGGGAAUUCCCAGUGUAGCGGUGAAAUGCGUAGAUAUUGGGAAGAACACCAGUGGCGAAGGCGCUCUACUGGGCCGUAACUGACGCUGAGGGACGAAAGCUAGGGGAGCGAAAGGGAUUAGAUACCCCCGUAGUCC
RNAcentral lists this ribosomal RNA (427 nucleotides) under uncultured prokaryote. RNAcentral describes it as "bacterial SSU rRNA". It matches the Rfam family "Bacterial small subunit ribosomal RNA", at positions 355 to 796 of the family's 1533-position model. The record is from RNAcentral.